This 125-nucleotide small RNA is filed under the name Marmota monax (woodchuck). Lineage: Eukaryota; Metazoa; Chordata; Mammalia; Rodentia; Sciuridae. The record is from RNAcentral.
GCUGGGUGUGGUGCCGCACGCCUGUGAUCCCAGCAGCUCGGGAGGCUGAGGCAGGAGGAUCGUGGGUUCAAAGCCAGCCUCAGCAAAAAGGAGGCACUAAGCAACUCAGUGAGACCCUGUCUCUA